This 457-nucleotide ribosomal RNA is filed under the name uncultured bacterium. Its description in RNAcentral is "partial 16S ribosomal RNA". It matches the Rfam family "Bacterial small subunit ribosomal RNA", at positions 338 to 795 of the family's 1533-position model. The record is from RNAcentral.
CCUACGGGCGGCAGCAGUGGGGAAUAUUGCACAAUGGGGGAAACCCUGAUGCAGCGACGCCGCGUGAGUGAAGAAGUAUUUCGGUAUGUAAAGCUCUAUCAGCAGGGAAGAAAUAAAGUCCUUCGGACUUUGGACGGUACCUGACUAAGAAGCCCCGGCUAACUACGUGCCAGCAGCCGCGGUAAUACGUAGGGGGCAAGCGUUAUCCGGAUUUACUGGGUGCAAAGGGAGCGUAGACGGCAGCGCAAGUCUGGAGUGAAAUCCCAUGGCUUAACCAUGGAACUGCUUUGGAAACUGUGCAGCUGGAGUGCAGGAGAGGUAAGCGGAAUUCCUAGUGUAGCGGUGAAAUGCGUAGAUAUUAGGAGGAACACCAGUGGCGAAGGCGGCUUACUGGACUGUAACUGACGUUGAGGCUCGAAAGCGUGGGGAGCAAACAGGAUUAGAUACCCUGGUAGUC